This 330-nucleotide RNase P RNA is filed under the name Heliophilum fasciatum. RNAcentral's name for it is "Bacterial RNase P class B". It matches the Rfam family "Bacterial RNase P class B". From Rfam's summary of the family: Ribonuclease P (RNase P) is a ubiquitous endoribonuclease, found in archaea, bacteria and eukarya as well as chloroplasts and mitochondria. Its best characterised activity is the generation of mature 5'-ends of tRNAs by cleaving the 5'-leader elements of precursor-tRNAs. Lineage: Bacteria; Bacillati; Bacillota; Clostridia; Eubacteriales; Heliobacteriaceae. The record is from Rfam by way of RNAcentral.
UAUGGCGGAUAGUCGCAGUUGUGUUAACAGUUGAGGAAAUUCGAGACACGCCCGUCGCGUAAGUGACGGAGUAUGGUGCCUGGUGCAAGCCAGGGCAGGGUAACCUGACGACGGCCAACGUCUCUGUUCGCAGAGGCCAGUAGCCAUAAAGUGCCACAGAAACGAUGUCUUCCGGUGACGGAAGAGUGCAAGGGUAAACUCCACUAGCGUGCAACCCAAAUAGGCGGCUUUGCCGCGGGUAGGGGCACCUGUGUAAGCAGGAAGGAAUUAUCAUUCCUUAGACAAAUGACUAUCGCCCGGUUUGCCGGGAACAGAAUCUCGAUUACAGCC